AUAUAUACAUAUAGGUAGUUAGUUAAAGUGCUAAAGGGCAAAGGAAAGCAAAAGGAAAUAAGGAGUGUGGGGGCAGAGCUGCAGCUCAGCUGGGUGGCCAGAGAAGUCUUCCUUUAAAGAUGACCUUGAAGACCAGGGUCAAGCCCUGUAGCUCUCUGAGAGGAAAAGAUUCCAGGUAGAGGGAACAGCAAGAGCGGGUGCCCUGAGGCUUGGUCUGCUGCAGGAAGCACCAGGAGCAGGCACAGCGUCAUCUUACCUGCUUCCCUAGGAUUUUCGUUCGAUCCCAUGACCUAAAAGGCCGGCAAGACUCACAGGGGAGCCGGCUCUCGUGAUAUGGACCUUACCGGCCUGGUUACGCUGUCCUCAUCCCAGCACCCUCGAAUUCACUGAGAGGGAGUAUGUCCUCUGUCAAGAUAUGAGCGGUGGAGAAACACACCCCCCGCCCCUGCUUCCCACAGAAAGCCAGUCUCCCCAAAAGCCCGUCCCCACUUGGAUCCUUUUUUAUUACUCUCGGGAAAGUGGUGUGAAAAUUUGAUAAGGCAAGACAUCAAAGUUCUGGUGUAGUCAGAGAGGGCUCUCACUUGCUGAUAAUGUGCAGAUACGCCGGGUCCAAAAGCACUUUCUUACAGCUUCGGGGUUGCUGCUCAGUCCUGGAGUGCCGAAGCACCCACUGAGUCAGCUCGCUCCCAACCACUCCGCCUUCCAGAACAUCAUCACCGCAAAUCUGCUGUGCAAUGCUGAUUUCUGAGAUCAUCCCCCAGGUGAAAAUGAACCAUCCCUCGGGACUGGGGUGGGAUAGGACGUUGUCUCCACAACCACGGCAAUAAUGAUGGCCCAUGGCAGACACCUGGGCUCUCCCAGGUAGAUGGUCAUUUUCUUAGGAACACAGGUGUUCCAAGUGUGACAUGUGCGAAGGAUUCUCCUCUUGGUUCAGUCCUGCCACAAGAAUCUCAUUACCAGAUGUUGCCAUGUUUCCAACCUUUAAAUCUCUCCUUUGGAAUAUAGGAGCCUGGGUUUUGCCUCUAAAUAAAUGAGGCCCUCGGGGGCAUCCCAUGGGGAUGAGGAUGAAACAAGCCUGGCCAUGAGUUGGUAAUUGUCAUCGUUGAAUUGUGUGAUGGGU
Molecule: long non-coding RNA, 1120 nt
Filed under: Equus caballus (horse)
Lineage: Eukaryota; Metazoa; Chordata; Mammalia; Perissodactyla; Equidae
Description: lncRNA (ENSECAG00000047276.1)
Source: RNAcentral